AUAAGAGAGUGAAAGACAGUAAUGAUGUUUUAUUUUGAAAUCUUGAAGAUCAUGGAGAUAAUUAUUUUCAAAUAUGAAAAAAAUGAAAAAGAAAAAACAAGAGAAAUAGAAGAGAUAAAAUAAAGUGGAAAUAAAAAAAUGAAAAUAAAAUAAAAUAAAAUAAUAAAAUGAUAAAAAAAUAAGAUGAAAAAAACAGGGGUAAAAGAUAUGGCUAUAUUUG
Molecule: long non-coding RNA, 220 nt
Filed under: Capsicum annuum
Lineage: Eukaryota; Viridiplantae; Streptophyta; Magnoliopsida; Solanales; Solanaceae
Description: long non-coding RNA (CANN_LNC016405)
Source: RNAcentral